AUUUUGCAUAUGCCGCGGAUUCCCUAUUUCUUGUAUUCCACCAGCUCUGAGGUAUUUCCAUCAGUAAGGUUCCUUUACUUUCUGAUAUUUCUGAGAACAAGGAGUUCGAUGAUGUCUUAAACUUCAUUUGUAUGAUGGGUACCAUAUCCACAAAGCUAGAUACCUUAAAUUUAAAUCCAGCUGCAGUAUAUUUGCUUUAGAUCUACAUUUAUUAUUAUCAUCACUUCAAAAAUUAUCCUCUAAUAAAAAAGCACUGAAGACAUCUCGUAUUAUAUAACGGUUUUUAAAUACAUCGUUUUGUUUUUGUUUUUAUCUCUCCUCUGUAUUCUCUCGUAUAGUCUGUAUUGUAUGUUCUGCGUUCUGUAUUAUUUGUUUCUUUUGUAUUUAAUUAUAUAUCUGCUGGAGAAAAAAAAAACUCGCUGCUGUAUUCAUAUUGUAUUGUCGUGAAGCUUCAGAAUCACCUCGGGUCUGCCAGCCAUCGUUAGUGCAGGAGGCUACGCCUGGCUGAGCUGUGCGCUCCGGCGACAACAAAAGAGCAAUCAUGACUAGUGGGGGGAAAUCAGCGUGAGCUUGCCCGUCAGAAGAAUGCUAAGAAGAACAAUGAACAUGCCAAAGGGAAGAGAAAUGAGGAUGGCCUCUCAGCAGCUGCCCGAAAGCAAAGUAGUAGUAUUAUUGUAUUUCAGAGAUGCUGAAAUCAUGCAGCAGAAGCAAAAAAAGGCAAAA
This is a long non-coding RNA of Carassius gibelio (silver crucian carp), 723 nucleotides long. RefSeq lists it as uncharacterized. NCBI's taxonomy places the organism in Eukaryota, Metazoa, Chordata, Actinopteri, Cypriniformes, Cyprinidae. The transcript has 3 exons. The record is from RefSeq and is a predicted model, not a curated record.